This 1683-nucleotide long non-coding RNA is filed under the name Homo sapiens (human). RNAcentral describes it as "non-protein coding LINC01714:27". The record is from RNAcentral. Lineage: Eukaryota; Metazoa; Chordata; Mammalia; Primates; Hominidae.
AGUGUGACUCACAGCUGUCCGUGAACCACCUACUGUAACAGCUGGCUAGACACCACAGCCCUGCGGCCCUGCAGCCCAGCCACGUCUUUUUAGCUUCACCUCGACGGCCUUGCUCUUGACCUGAAAUCACCAUCACCUUAAUGGGCUAGAAAAGGUUUCCCCACUGCGAGCCCUUCGAGAACAAUGUCAUGUUGAUCGAUGGCAGUGACUCACACCAGAUCUUUCCAUGCCUCCUCUGCAAGGACUCAAGAGAGUCGAGAGCAAAACCGUGCCAUAGUUCCAUAAGGAGGGCAAAGAGCUUUAUCCACGCUGAGGAACAGGCGGAUCAUGCGGCUACAGCACUGGUCUUUACCUUUUAACUGCUUGAUUCGAAACAUUCCAGCCAGGAACAGUGGCUCACACCUGUAAUCCCAGCACUUUGUGGGGCCAAGGCAGGUGGAUUGCUCGAGCUCAGGAGUUCGAAACCAGCCUGGGCAACCUGGCAAAACCUCAUCUCUACAAAAAAAUACAAAAAUUAGCCAGGCCUGGUGUGUGUGCCUGUGGUUCCAGCCACUCGGCAGGCUGCGGCCAGAGGAUCACUUGAGCCCAGGAAGUGGAGGCUGCAGUGAGCUGAGAUCGUGCCGCCACACUCCAGCCUGGGUGACAGAGCCAGACAUUGUCUCUAAAAAAAAAAAAAAAAGAAAAGAAAAGAAAGAAAAAAGAGAAAUAGUCCAAGACUAGGGAGAAAACCUUCUUUGGGGUCAGUGUGAACCAUUCUUUCAUUUGUUCAGCAAAUGCUUACUGAGGAGCUACUGUGUCCCUGAAAUUGCCUCCACCUCCAAGAAGACAGUGGUGAUUCACUGCAACCCAGAGAAAGUUUUGUGUUGUGUUCUGGCUGGCGAAACUUCUGCAAACAACGAAUGCUUCUUUUCAUCAGCCUAUUCUGCGUUGGUUGGUAGGAUGUCAGUCUAUAACCACAUCAAUUUCAGAUGAGGAUGUCAAGACUUGGAGUAGGUGACAGUUGGCCUUGGGCUUCGGUGGCCAACCCAUGACUACAAAAGCCCGAGAAGCCAGCAGCUUCCCCGGCUCCUCCACCAAGUGGCCUCUGGGUGAUGGGGAAGCUUGUCCUCUGCUUUGUCACACACAAAACUCUAAAAGUCAGCAUCCCAACGCAUCGGCCUGGAGAGCCCGUCCAGCAAACCCGUCUGUGGGUGGAAGUGGAUGGAUCACAGACCUAUAGUGUGAGGCUGAGAUUCUGCAGCAUUGGGUGACUCGCCGGGGCCCUGCGACCACACAAGCAAGCAGGAGACGGAGUCUUGCUGUGUCGCCCAGGCGGGAGCGCAAUGGUGUGAUCUCAGCUCACUGCAACCUCUGCCUCCCAGGUUCAAGCGAUUCUUCUGCCUCAGCCUCCUGAGUAGCUGGGAUUACAGGCAUGUGCCACCAUGCCCGGGUAAUUUUGUAUUUUUAGUAGAGGUGAGGUUUCACCAUGUUGGUCAGGCUGGUCUUGAACUCCUGACCUCAGGUGGUCUGUCCGCCUCAGCCUCCCAAAGUGCUGGGAUUAUAGGCAUGAGCCACUGCACCCAGCUUGUCAUGCUCUUUUAACAGGGACCCACAGGAGAAGAUACAUUUACCAUCAAGACUAGCCUGCAUAAUGAAAAAGAAUGUUUUACUGAAAUGCUGUUAUUAAAGGGCUGCAUUCCAAUA